ACGACGUGGGGUGAAUGAUGCAGGUCAAUUGGAGUCAACGCCAGAAAUCUUACCCUGAGGGCAAGCAGAAUGAAGGUCAAGCUGAAGACUUUAACAGACAAGCUGGGAGGUGGUGCAUGGCCGUCGCCAGCUCGUGCCGUGAGAUGUCCUGUUAAGUCAGGUAACGAGCGAGAUCCCUGCCUCUAGUUGCCACCAUUACUCUCAGGAGUAGUGGGGCGAAUUAGCGGGACCGCCGCAGUUAAUGCGGAGGAAGGAAGGGGCCACGGCAGGUCAGUAUGCCCCGAAACUCUGGGGCCACACGCGGGCUGCAAUGGUAGCGACAAUUGGUUUCGAAUCCGAAAGGAUGAGGUAAUCCACAAACGCUACCACAGUUAUGACUGAGGGCUGCAACUCGCCCUCACGAAUAUGGAAUCCCUAGUAACUGCGUGUCAUUAUCGCGCGGUGAAUACGUCCCUGCUCCUUGCACACACCGCCCGUCGUUUCAUUGAAGUGAGCUUUUAGCGAGGUGACGUCUGAUUGGCGUUAUCGAACUUGAGGUUCGUGACAAGGGAAAAGUCGUAACAAGGUGACCGUAGGGGAACCUGCGGUCG
Molecule: ribosomal RNA, 590 nt
Filed under: marine metagenome
Description: bacterial SSU rRNA
Rfam family: Archaeal small subunit ribosomal RNA
Source: RNAcentral